AAUCAAGCGCGAAAAGGGCGUUUGGUGGAUGCCUUGGCAGUAAGAGGCGAUGAAAGACGUGAUACUCUGCGAUAAGCCAUGGGGAGCUGAGAAUAAGCUUUGAUCCAUGGAUUUCUGAAUGGGGCAACCCACCUGAUACUUUGUUAUAAUCACCGCAAGGUGGCCUAUAGCGGGGUAAACCAGGUAUUUGUAGACUGAAUACAUAGGUUUACAAAAGCAAACCCGGGGAACUGAAACAUCUAAGUACCCGGAGGAAAGGAAAUCAACAGAUACUCCCCUAGUAGCGGCGAGCGAACGGGGACCAGCCGAGCCAUGAGUGUGAUCAGAACGUGUUGGGAAGCACGACCAGAGUGGGUGACAGUCCCGUAUGAGAAGCAUGAUUGGACGUAUUAAGUAGGGCGGAACACGUGAAAUUCUGUCUGAACAUCGGAGGACCACCUUCGAAGGCUAAGUACUCCUUACUGACCGAUAGCGAACCAGUACCGUGAGGGAAAGGUGAAAAGCACCCCGACGAGGGGAGUGAAACAGUACCUGAAACCGAACGCCUACAAUCAGUUGGAGGCUCCUUGAGGGCUGACAGCGUACCUUUUGUAUAAUGGGUCAUCGACUUAGUGUCACAAGCAAGCUUAAGCCGUUAGGUGUAGGCGCAGCGAAAGCGAGUCUGAAUAGGGCGAUUGAGUUUGUGGCAUUAGACCCGAAACCGAGUGAUCUAGGCAUGUCCAGGAUGAAGGUUAGGUAACACUAACUGGAGGUCCGAACCCACACCUGUUGAAAAAGGUCGGGAUGAGGUGUGCCUAGGGGUGAAAGGCCAAUCAAACUCGGAGAUAGCUGGUUCUCUGCGAAAUCUAUUUAGGUAGAGCGUCGUCCGAAUACCCUCGGGGGUAGAGCACUGGAUGGGUAAUGGGGCCUUACCGGCUUACUGAUCCUAACCAAACUCCGAAUACCGAGGAGUACUAGACGGCAGACACACAGCGGGUGCUAACGUCCGUUGUGAAGAGGGAAACAACCCUGACCUACGACUAAGGCCCCUAAUUCAUGGCUAAGUGGGAAAGCAGGUGGGACGGCCAAAACAACCAGGAGGUUGGCUUAGAAGCAGCCAUCCUUUAAAGAUAGCGUAACAGCUCACUGGUCUAAAUAAGCUGUCCUGCGGCGAAGAUGUAACGGGGCUCAAGCCAUGAGCCGAAGUCUAGGGUGCACUUUAUGUGCGCGGUAGCAGAGCGUAGUGUGACAUAGUUUCCUGUCUCCUUAACUGGUUCGCCAGUAUUGGAGACGCGAAGCUUUCGAUGAAGCCCGGGCGUGAGCCAUCGGGUGGAGAGAUCACUAGUGAGAAUGAUGACAUGAGUAGCGACAAAGGGAGUGAGAGACUCCCUCGCCGAAAGUCCAAGGGUUCCUGCUUAAAGCUAAUCUGAGCAGGGUAAGCCGACCCCUAAGGCGAGGCCGAAAGGCGUAGUCGAUGGGAAC
RNAcentral lists this ribosomal RNA (1461 nucleotides) under Loktanella gaetbuli. RNAcentral describes it as "partial 23S ribosomal RNA". It matches the Rfam family "Bacterial large subunit ribosomal RNA", at positions 1 to 1425 of the family's 2925-position model. The record is from RNAcentral. Lineage: Bacteria; Pseudomonadati; Pseudomonadota; Alphaproteobacteria; Rhodobacterales; Roseobacteraceae.